Molecule: ribosomal RNA, 548 nt
Filed under: Colletotrichum gloeosporioides
Lineage: Eukaryota; Fungi; Ascomycota; Sordariomycetes; Glomerellales; Glomerellaceae
Description: eukaryotic LSU rRNA
Rfam family: 5.8S ribosomal RNA (bases 175-328)
Source: RNAcentral
GUGGAUCUGAGUUCGCUCUACACCCUUUGUGACAUACCUAUAACUGUUGCUUCGGCGGGCAGGGUCUCCGUGACCCUCCCGGCCUCCCGCCCCCGGGCGGGUCGGCGCCCGCCGGAGGAUAACCAAACUCUGAUUUAACGACGUUUCUUCUGAGUGGUACAAGCAAAUAAUCAAAACUUUUAACAACGGAUCUCUUGGUUCUGGCAUCGAUGAAGAACGCAGCGAAAUGCGAUAAGUAAUGUGAAUUGCAGAAUUCAGUGAAUCAUCGAAUCUUUGAACGCACAUUGCGCCCGCCAGCAUUCUGGCGGGCAUGCCUGUUCGAGCGUCAUUUCAACCCUCAAGCUCUGCUUGGUGUUGGGGCCCUACAGCUGAUGUAGGCCCUCAAAGGUAGUGGCGGACCCUCCCGGAGCCUCCUUUGCGUAGUAACUUUACGUCUCGCACUGGGAUCCGGAGGGACUCUUGCCGUAAAACCCCCAAUUUUCCAAAGGUUGACCUCGGAUCAGGUAGGAAUACCCGCUGAACUUAAGCAUAUCAAUAAGCGGAGAGAA